RNAcentral lists this transfer RNA (96 nucleotides) under Campylobacter hominis. Its description in RNAcentral is "tRNA-Gln(ttg)". The record is from RNAcentral. Lineage: Bacteria; Pseudomonadati; Campylobacterota; Epsilonproteobacteria; Campylobacterales; Campylobacteraceae.
GUGCUUGAUAGUAGAGGAAAUCCUACGGUUAGAGCUUUUGUGGCUCUUGAAGACGGAACUUUGGCUGGGGCAACCGUGCCAAGCGGUGCAAGCACA